This 301-nucleotide ribosomal RNA is filed under the name uncultured bacterium. Its description in RNAcentral is "partial 16S ribosomal RNA". It matches the Rfam family "Bacterial small subunit ribosomal RNA", at positions 509 to 807 of the family's 1533-position model. The record is from RNAcentral.
CAGCAGCCGCGGGAAUACAGAGGGUGCGAGCGUUAAUCGGAUUUACUGGGCGUAAAGCGUGCGUAGGCGGCUUCUUAAGUCGGAUGUGAAAUCCCUGAGCUUAACUUAGGAAUUGCAUUCGAUACUGGGAAGCUAGAGUAUGGGAGAGGAUGGUAGAAUUCCAGGUGUAGCGGUGAAAUGCGUAGAGAUCUGGAGGAAUACCGAUGGCGAAGGCAGCCAUCUGGCCUAAUACUGACGCUGAGGUACGAAAGCAUGGGGAGCAAACAGGAUUAGAUACCCGCGUAGUCCCUGUCUCUUAUAC